AUUGAACGCUGGCGGCAGGCCUAACACAUGCAAGUCGAGCGGAUGAAGGGAGCUUGCUCCUGGAUUCAGCGGCGGACGGGUGAGUAAUGCCUAGGAAUCUGCCUGGUAGUGGGGAUAACGUCCGGAAACGGGCGCUAAUACCGCAUACGUCCUGAGGGAGAAAGUGGGGGAUCUUCGGACCUCACGCUAUCAGAUGAGCCUAGGUCGGAUUAGCUAGUUGGUGGGGUAAAGGCCUACCAAGGCGACGAUCCGUAACUGGUCUGAGAGGAUGAUCAGUCACACUGGAACUGAGACACGGUCCAGACUCCCACGGGAGGCAGCAGUGGGGAAUAUUGGACAAUGGGCGAAAGCCUGAUCCAGCCAUGCCGCGUGUGUGAAGAAGGUCUUCGGAUUGUAAAGCACUUUAAGUUGGGAGGAAGGGCAGUAAGUUAAUACCUUGCUGUUUUGACGUUACCAACAGAAUAAGCACCGGCUAACUUCGUG
This 483-nucleotide ribosomal RNA is filed under the name uncultured bacterium. RNAcentral describes it as "partial 16S ribosomal RNA". It matches the Rfam family "Bacterial small subunit ribosomal RNA", at positions 30 to 507 of the family's 1533-position model. The record is from RNAcentral.